CCUGAUUGAUUCUGUCAGCGCUAUAUGCUCAGUUUAAAGAUUAAGCCAUGCAUGUCGAGUUCAUCUAUAGAGAAACUGCGAACGGCUCAUUAGAGCAGAUGUCAUUUAUUCGGAACGUCCUAUUGGAUAACUGCGGUAAUUCUGGAGCUAAUACAUGCAAUAAAACCUGACUUUUGGAAGGGUGCAAUUAUUAGUGCAAACCAAUCAUCUUCGGAUGUUGUUUGCUGACUCUGAAUAACGCAGCAUAUCGGCGGCUUGUCCGCUGAUAUUCCGAAAAGUGUCUGCCCUAUCAACCUGAUGGUAGUCUAUUAGUCUACCAUGGUUAUUACAGGUAACGGAGAAUAAGGGUUCGACUCGGAGAGGAGCCUUAGAAACGGCUACCACAUCCAAGGAAGGCAGCAGGCGCGAAACUUAUCAAUCUUGAAUAGAUGAGAUAGUGACUAAAAAUAAGAAGACCAUUCCUAUGGAACGGUCAUUCCAAUGAGUUGAUCAUAAACCUUUUUCGAGGAACAAGUGGAGGGCAAGUCUGGUGCCAGCAGCCGCGGUAAUUCCAGCUCCACUAGUGUAAAUCGUCAUUGCUGCGGUUAAAAAGCUCGUAGUUGGAUCUGAGUUACAUGCAGUGGUUCACCUUUGGUGUUAAUCGCUGUUGUGACUAUUUGCUGGUUUUCUAUUAAAGCUUCGGCUUUUUUAGUAGCUAGCGAGUUUACUUUGAAUAAAUUAGAGUGCUCAGAACAAGCGUUUGCUUGAAUGGUCGAUCAUGGAAUAAUAAAGAGGACUUCGGUUCUAUUUAUUGGUUCAGGAACUGAAAUAAUGGUUAAGAGGACAAUUCGGGGCAUUCGUAUCCCUGCGCGAGAGGUGAAAUUCGUGGACCGCAGGGGACGCCCUAAAGCAAGCAUUUGCCAAGAAUGUCUUCAUUAAUCAAGAACGAAAGUCAGAGGUUCGAAGGCGAUUAGAUACCGCCCUAGUUCUGACCGUAAACUAUGCCAUCUAGCGAUCCGAUGGGGUAUUGUUGCCUUGUCGAGGAGCUUCCGGAAACGAAAGUCUUUCGGUUCCUGGGGUAGUAUGGUUGCAAAGCUGAAACUUAAAGAAAUUGACGGAAUGGCACCACCAGGAGUGGAGCCUGCGGCUUAAUUUGACUCAACACGGGAAAACUCACCCGGCCCGGACACCGUAAGGAUUGACAGAUUGAAAGCUCUUUCUCGAUUUGGUGGUUGGUGGUGCAUGGCCGUUCUUAGUUGGUGGAGCGAUUUGUCUGGUUUAUUCCGAUAACGAGCGAGACUCUAGCCUGCUAAAUAGUGGCUGAAUUUUCAUGUUCAGUCUACUUCUUAGAGGAUAAGCGGUGACUAGCCGCACGAGAUUGAGC
Molecule: ribosomal RNA, 1363 nt
Filed under: Nippostrongylus brasiliensis
Lineage: Eukaryota; Metazoa; Nematoda; Chromadorea; Rhabditida; Heligmosomidae
Description: SSU rRNA
Rfam family: Eukaryotic small subunit ribosomal RNA
Source: RNAcentral